AGCUCCAAUAGCGUAUAUGUAAGUUGUUGCGAUUAAAAAGCCCGUAGCUGAACCUCGGGCAACCCUGACGGUCCGCGUUUCGUGAGUACUGUCGUGGGUUGUCUUUCUGGCAAGACCGUAUCUCGGUGUUUACUCGCCGGGAACGGCGCUUGCCAAGGUUACUUUGAGUAAAAUAGAGUGUUCAAAGCAAGCUCGCGCUCUGAAUACACUAGCAUGGGAUAACACGACAUGACCGAUGGUCUAUCUUGUUGGCCUGUAGACCUGUUGGUAAUGGCUAAUAGGGACGGUCGGGGGCAUUCGUAUUUCGCUGUCAGAGGUGAAAUUCUUGGAUUUGCGAAAGACGAACUACUGCGAAAGCAUUUGCCAAGGACGCUU
RNAcentral lists this ribosomal RNA (375 nucleotides) under uncultured eukaryote. RNAcentral describes it as "SSU rRNA". It matches the Rfam family "Eukaryotic small subunit ribosomal RNA", at positions 587 to 969 of the family's 1831-position model. The record is from RNAcentral.